RNAcentral lists this ribosomal RNA (434 nucleotides) under uncultured bacterium. Its description in RNAcentral is "partial 16S ribosomal RNA". It matches the Rfam family "Bacterial small subunit ribosomal RNA", at positions 28 to 506 of the family's 1533-position model. The record is from RNAcentral.
GAUGAACGCUGGCGGUAUGCUUAACACAUGCAAGUCGAACGGACUCUUCGGAGUUAGUGGCGGACGGGUGAGUAACGCGUGAGAAUCUGGCUUUGGGUUCGGGACAACCACUGGAAACGGUGGCUAAUACCGGAUGUGCCGAGAGGUAAAAGAGAAAUUGCCUGAAGAUGAGCUCGCGUCUGAUUAGCUAGUUGGUGAGGUAAAGGCUCACCAAGGCAGCGAUCAGUAGCUGGUCUGAGAGGAUGACCAGCCACACUGGGACUGAGACACGGCCCAGACUCCUACGGGGGGGAGAAGUGGGGAAUUUUCCGCAAGGGGGGAAAGCCUGACGGAGCAAUACCGGGGGAGGGAAGAAGGUUUUUGGGUUGAAAACCUUUUUUCUUAGGGAAAAAAAAAAGGACGGUACCAAAGGAAUCAGCAUCGGUUAAAUCCGU